CUUUCCUUGACGACGACUGGCGCACGGGUGAGUAACGCGUAUCCAACCUUCCCAUGACCACGGGAUAACCCGUUGAAAGACGGCCUAAUACCGUAUGACGUCGUUUGCCGACAUCGAAAGACGACCAAAGGUUUGCGGUGAUGGAUGGGGAUGCGUCUGAUUAGCUUGUUGGCGGGGUAACGGCCCACCAAGGCUACGAUCAGUAGGGGUUCUGAGAGGAAGGUCCCCCACAUUGGAACUGAGACACGGUCCAAACUCCUACGGGAGGCAGCAGAG
Molecule: ribosomal RNA, 276 nt
Filed under: uncultured Prevotella sp.
Lineage: Bacteria; Pseudomonadati; Bacteroidota; Bacteroidia; Bacteroidales; Prevotellaceae
Description: partial 16S ribosomal RNA
Rfam family: Bacterial small subunit ribosomal RNA
Source: RNAcentral